RNAcentral lists this transfer RNA (71 nucleotides) under Salix viminalis (osier). Lineage: Eukaryota; Viridiplantae; Streptophyta; Magnoliopsida; Malpighiales; Salicaceae. The record is from RNAcentral.
GCACCAGUAGCUCAGUGGAAAAGAGUAUAUUUUGUAAACAGAAGGGCAGGGGUCGACCCCCUGCCGCCGCG